GGGCAUCAGAAUUUCAACAAUUCUUUAUUAAAUUAACUUUAUGACGUAUUAAAAAGUAACACUUUCGAGAAUGGGAAAAUGGAAGAAAAAGAACUCAAAAUUAUUUGGGGUUUGACAUUCAUGUUUCUCCAAAGCAUCGGGGACCAUAAAAGUGGGUUUACAGCCUCCCUCCCUGUGCCCCACUUCACCUGUGGGUUCUUCAAUAUAAUUCUAGAGUGUUGGCUGCAACAAUGUUCCUCAGUGGCAGUUUUCUCACUGACUAAUGUACUACCCAGCGAAGGAUCAAGUCAGCAUUGGUGGUGGGAAACACGUUACUAAGACAUAUGAACAGCUUUGGAAGAGGAAUGAAUAUGAGACCGCCCGCUUGAAAGUGUAGGAGUUCCACACGCCUAAAAUUCAGGGAGAGGUGUCCCCUGAGAUUGUCCUUAAGAAGACUGAGAUCUAAGGAGGGACAGUGAGGACACCACCAACAGGAAGUACAUGAUGUCAAUCUGUCUCACAUGUCCUUCAGGAUGUUUUAGUACGGACCUCAUGUUCGUGUUCUUCAGUGUCACAGAAGCAGUGAGGUGACAAACUACACGUCCCAGGGGGUGAUCAAGAGGGGUUAAGAGUGAGAAUUGAUUCAGACUUGGGUUCAAAUCCUGUCUCCACUCUUGGCCAUUUGACAUAGCAGAAGAAGAUUGGAGGAUGAAGGGAGAGAAGAAAGGCUAUCUGACUCAUGAGUAUUUUUAUCCAAGAGAUGUGGAACAGUACCUGAAAGGACUAUUUAAAUCAUUGGAUCAGACUAAGCUUCAAACUGGAUUGCACUUCUGGUUAAAUUUUCUCUGCUAAACGGAGAUUUUAACUCGAGUUGAUAUCUGUUAAUGCGACAAAAGGAAGGCAAGUGUUGCCCUGAUACAUGCUUCCUACUGAGUAAGGCAGGUCUGGACAUUUGGAAAGAAAUUGCAAGAUCCAUCCACGUUCUGAAGCAUGGAAAUGAUGUGUGAGUGGUGGGGUCUUCAUCAUUUAAGUAAGUAGUCGGAGUUAACUCGUCUGACUUUCACAUGGUAUUGAUCCUUUCUCUCUUGGGAAGAGCUGUGUGGAUUUUUGGUGGUUGUUAUUCUUGGGGCGGGGAGCCCGUGGAGGGAAGGAGAGGAUGAGUGGAAAUGAGACCAUAAAGACCGGAUAACUAAGUACUGCGCACAGGGACUGACGGGCGGGAUGAUACGCAGAUCUUUGUUCUCAACCGAAGUGCUUCAUCUAUAAUGGAGAUUACGGUAAAGACAAAAUGAAGUUGUCUAAAGGAAAAUGAUGUCUCAGGAGUCGUUAUAGUGGUUUGACCGCAAGUUAAUAAUGUGGCCAGCACUUAAUAGUGAACUGCAGGCCUACAUUAUCUUUGAACGGAUGCCACUCAUGAGCAAUCCAAACAGGUCAAUUACCAGCAAAUCUCUGAUGAUCUCAGUACAUCAAGGAAGAGCCGAGAAGAAUGCCCAGAUGCGCAGACACGUAAGAACUGAAACAGGGUACAAACCAAUUUACCGAAAUGGAACUUAACCCUCAGAGGAAUGAAACCAGCCUACUACAUAUUCAUUUCUAUCUUAUUAAUUAUUUAUGCAGGGUGUGAACCUGCCACUUGAAGCAAAUUUUACAAACCAGUAAGUG
RNAcentral lists this long non-coding RNA (1641 nucleotides) under Equus caballus (horse). Its description in RNAcentral is "lncRNA (ENSECAG00000059320.1)". Lineage: Eukaryota; Metazoa; Chordata; Mammalia; Perissodactyla; Equidae. The record is from RNAcentral.